RNAcentral lists this transfer RNA (71 nucleotides) under Tmesipteris elongata. RNAcentral's name for it is "tRNA-Gly". It matches the Rfam family "tRNA". Rfam says of the family: Transfer RNA (tRNA) molecules are approximately 80 nucleotides in length. Their secondary structure includes four short double-helical elements and three loops (D, anti-codon, and T loops). Further hydrogen bonds mediate the characteristic L-shaped molecular structure. tRNAs have two regions of fundamental functional importance: the anti-codon, which is responsible for specific mRNA codon recognition, and the 3' end, to which the tRNAs corresponding amino acid is attached (by aminoacyl-tRNA synthetases). tRNAs cope with the degeneracy of the genetic code in two manners: having more than one tRNA (with a specific anti-codon) for a particular amino acid; and 'wobble' base-pairing, i.e. permitting non-standard base-pairing at the 3rd anti-codon position. Lineage: Eukaryota; Viridiplantae; Streptophyta; Polypodiopsida; Psilotales; Psilotaceae. The record is from RNAcentral.
GCGGGUAUGAUUUAAUGGUAAAAUAUCUCUUUGCCAAGGAGAAUAUGUGGGUUCAAUUCCCGCUACCCGCU